UACGGACAAAAUAAGGAGAAAAGUGAUAACUAAGUUAAGACAGGUCCCCUUUACUUUUGUUGAAGUCAGAGAUAGUCUACUACACUUGCCCAUUUGAGGAAAGCACAAUUCCUCAUUUCAUUCACUCUUCAACUUGUGUCAGCAUAUUACAUAUUCUCCUGAAAAUUAGACAUUCUUUCCCUGUCAGAUCCCCAACUUUCUUGGAAUUUUCAGCACCUUAAAUUAACAGUUUCAGUAGAGAAAAAAGAAAGAUUAUGUCUUGUUAAUGGAGUUGGUACCUUAUUCUGACCCCAAGACUGAAUCAAGCAGCUCUAGUCCACCUUGGCAAGAAAUGUUCCGAUCUGCUUCAAUGAAGAAAAAUGACUCACAAUUCAAGAACGAUGGUUCCACACAAACUCCCCCGAAAAUCCCAGAAACCAAAGAGAUAUGAAGAAAAAGGACUCACAAUUCAAGAACGAUGGUUCCACACAAACUCCCCCGAAAAUCCCAGAAACCAAAGAGAAUCAAGAUCACAGUUUUUUAUCAGAGGAAUCUCAGGUAUUGCUGAAGUGUGUGACCGUCUCAUUUAAAAGCUUAAGUUGUUAGAUAGAGUAUACAUUUUUAAUUAUUUAGCUAUAUGAUGUCUCAACGAGUGGCGGACAGUGGCGGAGGCAGGAUUUCCGCUUUGGGGUUCAAAAAAGAAAAAAAUUACAAGAGAUUGUAGCUAGUGGUAAUUUAACCUCCUUGACCACUAAGCUAUGCUUUUGGGCUAUGUAAGGAGAUUCAAAAUAUAAGUUAUAGAGGUAAAAAUCAGAUUUUGCCCUAUAUGCACAGUAUAAUUUUUCGACGAAGGGAGUUCACCCUUCCGCCCCCUAAAUCUGCCCCUGGUGGCGCAGUCACCUUAGUCUAAGGAUUCCGCAAAAAAAUACAUUGUAUAGCCAGCUAAAAAGAUUAUUUUUAUGUAUAUUUAACUUCUUUGUGUGUGUAUAUUUUGACACCCUUUAUGUACAUUGUAUAUUUACUUCUCCUCGCUCCAGUCGGUCGAGUCUCUUUGAAAUUACAUCCCUGCCUCUCGUCUAACUCGAGUUGCCUCUGCCACUGGUCUCCUCACGCCCCUCACGUGCAAAGGCGGA
Molecule: long non-coding RNA, 1112 nt
Filed under: Nicotiana benthamiana
Lineage: Eukaryota; Viridiplantae; Streptophyta; Magnoliopsida; Solanales; Solanaceae
Description: long non-coding RNA (NBEN_LNC011270)
Source: RNAcentral